CGCAAUCUCAGCAACCUCUAAUUCUUCCAUUCUUCAAACAAACAGAGGCCUUUGGCUCAGGUUGCUAGCUGCAAGAGCUAAAGCAAAACGCAAAUCCCCAGAAGCCAUGGCUACCUUUUUUCGAGCUCUACCAAUAAUCUAUUCAGUACCAUCUUCAACUUCUAAUUCCCAAUCAAUCAAAAGAAGAAAUCUCAUAAUUAAUUGCGGCUCUUCAAUUGGUGCAAGAAAUUCAGCUAAAAUUCCUAUGCCCCCAACAAACCCUAAAGACCAUUUUCUCUCAAAGCUCGCUUCUGUCGCUGCCAAUUCGCCCGAAAAGCUUCUUGACCGACCGUUGAGUUCCGAUACGCUGCCGUAUCUUGGCCUAUUCGACUCUCCGCAGCUCAUCGCCACCUCCGCUCAUGUGGAAAGAUCAGUGUCGUACAAUGAGCACCGGCCGAGGAAGCCGCCACCGGACUUGCCUUCAUUGCUUCUCCAUGGGAGAAUAGUUUAUAUUGGCAUGCCUGUAAGUACUUUAUUUUGCCAUUUGGCUUUAGUGGUUCUUAAUUUUUUUUGCUGAUAUUGCUUUGCACACACGCACUUCUUAUGCUGACGAAAAUGCACUCUGUCAAUUCAUUUAGUUGCCGGGUACUUUUUAUAUAUCCUGAUUUGGUGAAGAAUUAGCCUUAUGAUUACAUCUAGUCAAAAGAUCUUAAUGUGCUUGACAAUGCCAUAAUAGCUGUGAUAAGGUCUUGAUGUCUGAUUUCUUCUCUGUUCUUGUUGUUAUUUGUUAUUCUUGCAAUUUGGCUUUACCUUUAGAAUUAUUAUCACCUAUGGCAAACUACUUCAUUUUGUUAUCUUUGUAGUCUGGAACAAUAUGUAUUUACUUGCUUUAAGGUAGAACCAAUUGUUAGUCCAAAUUUACAAGAAUUUUGAUACUAAGCAAUAUGGUUUAUGUGUUUUCGUAUUAACUUGUUUGAGCAAUCCAUUCAACAUGUUAACAUUUGUCUUAUAGUUUCAUUCAGUUGGUGCCUGCUGUCACAGAGCUUGUUGUUGCAGAAUUGAUGUACUUGCAGUGGAUGGAUCCCAAAGAACCAAUAUAUUUGUACAUAAAUUCCACGGGAACAACUCGUGAUGAUGGUGAAACAAAUCUGCAGGUUCAUGAACAUUCAACAUUUUGAAACCUCAAGCAAGCCACACGGCAAAUGCAAAUGAUGGCAUAUUUUCUUAUGACUGGGUGCCACCCUUCUGCUUGCUUGAAAGGUUGUAGCGCUGCAGAAGAUGUACCUUGUUGAGCCCUGAAUCUAGCCUCCAAAACACUUGUUUGAACUAUCCCUGAUGAUGUUGGCCUACACUUAACUUGGGGUGAACUUAAAUAUCUCAGUUUUUUAUUUUACAGUGUAAAUCCUUUGCGGACUAUGAAAGCCAUUGAUAUGUGUUAUUGGGAGAGUCAGCUGUUUGACAUGGUAACAGUUCGGUGUUGUGUAAAUAUUUCAAUUAGUAUUGAAACAUAUUAGAGCGAACCUAAUGAUGUAAUUUGCAUGUUGGCAUAUAUAUGAGUCUCCUUUGACUUAUUUAUUGAUUCUUUACAUAAUUAUGAAUUAAAAAUGUUACUUUUCA
RNAcentral lists this unclassified non-coding RNA (1596 nucleotides) under Hevea brasiliensis (rubber tree). Lineage: Eukaryota; Viridiplantae; Streptophyta; Magnoliopsida; Malpighiales; Euphorbiaceae. The record is from RNAcentral.